RNAcentral lists this ribosomal RNA (245 nucleotides) under Bacillus subtilis. Its description in RNAcentral is "partial 23S ribosomal RNA". It matches the Rfam family "Bacterial large subunit ribosomal RNA", at positions 2681 to 2925 of the family's 2925-position model. Lineage: Bacteria; Bacillati; Bacillota; Bacilli; Caryophanales; Bacillaceae. The record is from RNAcentral.
UUAGGAGAGGGACGUGGUGGAAGCACGGCUGGUGUAGCAGUUGUUAUGCCAAGGGCAUCGCUGGGUAGCUAUGUGCGGACGGGAUAAGUGCUGAAAGCAUCUAAGCAUGAAGCCCCCCUCAAGAUGAGAUUUCCCAUUCCGCAAGGAAGUAAGAUCCCUGAAAGAUGAUCAGGUUGAUAGGUCUGAGGUGGAAGUGUGGCGACACAUGGAGCUGACAGAUACUAAUCGAUCGAGGACUUAACCAU